Molecule: non-coding RNA, 51 nt
Organism: Schistosoma mansoni
Lineage: Eukaryota; Metazoa; Platyhelminthes; Trematoda; Strigeidida; Schistosomatidae
Source: Rfam
AUUAAGCUGACGAGUCCCAAAUAGGACGAAGUGAUGCGCGUCAAACUGGAU